RNAcentral lists this ribosomal RNA (375 nucleotides) under Blastocystis sp. subtype 2. Its description in RNAcentral is "SSU rRNA". It matches the Rfam family "Eukaryotic small subunit ribosomal RNA", at positions 703 to 1085 of the family's 1831-position model. Lineage: Eukaryota; Bigyra; Opalinata; Blastocystidae. The record is from RNAcentral.
UGAUGAGGUGUAGUGGGGUAUUCAGUUAUUCUACUACUCCUUUGGUCGUUUACUGUGAGAAAUUAGAGUGUUCAAGCGGGCGUUUGUUUGAAUAGAUUAGCAUGGAAUAAUGAUUGAAGGCUUUCGUGUUCGAUUUGAUUGGUUUGUUCAUGGAAGCAAGGUUAAAAGGAACAGUUGGGGGUAUUCAUAUUCACUAGUUAGAGGUGAAAUUCUCGGAUUUAUGGAAGAUGAACAGGUGCGAAAGAUUUACCAAGGAUGUUUUCAUUAAUCAAGAACGAAAGCUAGGGGAUCGAAGAGGAUUAGAUACCCUCGUAGUCUUAGCUAUAAACGAUACCGACUAGGGGUUAGUAGAGGUCAAUGUGUCUCUUAUUAGUA